Molecule: long non-coding RNA, 372 nt
Filed under: Salvia miltiorrhiza (redroot sage)
Lineage: Eukaryota; Viridiplantae; Streptophyta; Magnoliopsida; Lamiales; Lamiaceae
Description: long non-coding RNA (SMIL_LNC009952)
Source: RNAcentral
AAACUUCAAAAUCUAUGUUGACAAACGGAUCCCGUCCAGCUCACAUAUACGGAUUGUCACUUAAUUCUCAACCAGUUCACACCAUCUACCUGUGCGAUACAUUCCAGGUUGGCAAGUCAAGUUAUAUAUACGUAUAUAUGUGAAAAAAAGCCUAUAACCUUCUCUCAAGAUCUCGUUCUGUCACGGUCCUCCGUCCCUGAGCCAAUCCCUCCCGUAGAGAAGCUCAAAACCUCCAAAAACAAACAAGAAAAAACAGUCAAUAAAAUGCCAAACGGGCCUCUCCUUAGACAAGCUGCAAAACAAGAAAAUAUGAAAAGAGUAAGUUAUGAAUACAUAAAAAUGAUAGCAUGGUACUACAACAAAAAUUCCAAG